Long non-coding RNA from Oxyura jamaicensis (ruddy duck), 263 nucleotides. RefSeq lists it as uncharacterized. Lineage: Eukaryota; Metazoa; Chordata; Aves; Anseriformes; Anatidae. The record is from RefSeq and is a predicted model, not a curated record. The transcript has 2 exons.
GGUUAUUUACAUUAGUCAUUUCUUGGCAUAAAAUGUGAUGGCAGGGCUACACCAAUUUAGUGUGGUCACACAUCUGCUGAUGGGAGAAACAGUUCAUGAACAGAGCAACAGCUGGCACUGAAUCACCACCAUGUCAGCUGGAGAUGCCAAUACAACAAAGAGCUGAGAUUACAAAUUCAGUGCAGCAUGUAAUAAAAACGCAAACCAAAAAUGUAGGCAAUUUUUUUUUGUUUUACUUUGAGUAUUUUUUUUUAAACCACAAG